This 238-nucleotide ribosomal RNA is filed under the name uncultured bacterium. Its description in RNAcentral is "partial 16S ribosomal RNA". It matches the Rfam family "Bacterial small subunit ribosomal RNA", at positions 95 to 334 of the family's 1533-position model. The record is from RNAcentral.
CCGGCGCACGGGUGAGUAACACGUAUCCAACCUGCCGUCUACUCUUGGACAGCCUCUGAAAGGAAGAUUAAUACAAGAUGGCAUCAUGAGUCCGCAUGUUCACAUGAUUAAAGGUAUUCCGGUAGACGAUGGGGAUGCGUUCCAUUAGAUAGUAGGCGGGGUAACGGCCCACCUAGUCUUCGAUGGAUAGGGGUUCUGGGAGGAAGGUCCCCCACAUUGGAACUGAGACACGGUCCAA